Molecule: long non-coding RNA, 571 nt
Organism: Lutra lutra (Eurasian river otter)
Lineage: Eukaryota; Metazoa; Chordata; Mammalia; Carnivora; Mustelidae
Exons: 3
Source: RefSeq, a predicted model, not a curated record
AACAGCAUUCCACGGCUGGCUGGCUGCAGUUUUCACAGCCCUUCUGAGGGGCGGAGAGAGGAAGUUGUGCACAUGGUAAGGGGCAUGAGUAGAACAUCAAAGCCGUCAAUGGCCAUGAGUCAGUGAAAAAUCCCUCUCGGUUGCCACAGAGAGACCUGGGAUGGAAACAGUUCCCAUUUUCAAGCUGAGACGCAGGUUUCGGUAUUGACUUGACCAACCUUGGAGCCGGCAGCGGGUGACUCCAAAGCACUCAUAAUCCUGAAUGAUAAACCCAGAAGACACCAUAGAGACCAAUACUCAGAUCAGAGGGUGGAACAGAAAUGACGAGGAAUCUCAGAAACCCUCAUGGAUGCUGGCAUAUUGUGAGCACAGCAUUAACUUCCCCUGCUCCAGACAUGGUCCAGAGGCAGUGGAGACUCUGGCUGCAGAGGGCCGUUGAGGGUGGUGUUAGGAAUGAGUCUUUAGCUCUCUUUCUGGACUGAUGACACAGAAUACCAAAACAAAUUAAUGCUUGCCCUCAAACAGGAUAUAAUCCUGUUGAAAAGAAAAGGGGAGCCCAGAAACUGGGGUG